This 573-nucleotide ribosomal RNA is filed under the name Borreliella garinii. RNAcentral describes it as "bacterial SSU rRNA". Lineage: Bacteria; Pseudomonadati; Spirochaetota; Spirochaetia; Spirochaetales; Borreliaceae. The record is from RNAcentral.
AGUGGCGAACGGGUGAGUAACGCGUGGAUGAUCUACCUACGAGAUGGGGAUAACUAYUAGAAAUAGUAGCUAAUACCGAAUAARGUCAAUYAAUUUGUUAAUUGAUGAAAGGAAGCCUUUAAAGCUUCGCUUGUAGAUGAGUCUGCGUCUUAUUAGYUAGUUGGURGGGUAAAUGCCUACCAAGRCGAUGAUAAGUAACCGGCCUGAGAGGGUGAACGGUCACACUGGAACUGAGAUACGGUCCAGACUCCUACGGGAGGCAGCAGCUAAGAAUCUUCCGCAAUGGGCGAAAGCCUGACGGAGCGACACUGCGUGAAUGAAGAAGGUCGAAAGAUUGUAAAAUUCUUUUAUAAAUGAGGAAUAAGCUUUGUAGGAAAUGACGAAGYGAUGACGUUAAUUUAUGAAUAAGCCCCGGCUAAUUACGUGCCAGCAGCCGCGGUAAUACGUAAGGGGCGAGCGUUGUUCGGGAUUAUUGGGCGUAAAGGGUGAGUAGGCGGAUAUAUAAGUCUAUGCAUAAAAUACCACAGCUCAACUGUGGAACUAUGUUGGAAACUAUAUGUCUAGAGUCUGAUA